This 676-nucleotide ribosomal RNA is filed under the name uncultured bacterium. RNAcentral's name for it is "bacterial SSU rRNA". It matches the Rfam family "Bacterial small subunit ribosomal RNA", at positions 8 to 694 of the family's 1533-position model. The record is from RNAcentral.
AGAGUUUGAUCCUGGCUCAGGACGAACGCUGGCGGUGUGCUUCACACAUGCAAGUCGAGCGAAUGAAGUAGGUAGCUUGCUACUUAUGGAUUUAGCGGCGGACGGGUGAGUAAUACAUAGGAAUCUGCCUUAGAGCGGGGAACAACAGACCGAAAGGUUUGCUAAUGCCCCAUAGGUAUGCAGUCUUCGGAUUGUAUACUAAAGGAGUAAUCCACUCUAAGAUGAGCCUGUAUCCGAUUAGCUAGUUGGCGGGGUAAAGGCCCACCAAGGCUACGAUCGGUAGUUGGUCUGAGAGGAUGAUCAGCCACAAUGGGACUGAGACACGGCCCAUACUCCUACGGGAGGCAGCAGUGGGGAAUUUUACACAAUGGGGGAAACCCUGAUGUAGCGACACCGCGUGAACGAAGAAGCCUUUUGGGGUGUAAAGUUCUGUCGGCUGGAACGAAAAAAAUGACGGUACCAGCAAAGGAAGCAUCGGCUAACUACGUGCCAGCAGCCGCGGUAAGACGUAGGAUGCAAGCGUUGUCCGGAUUUAUUGGGCGUAAAGAGUUCGUAGGCGGUUAUUUAAGUCUGAUGUUAAAUACUGUGGCCCAACCACAGAACUGCAUUGGAUACUGGAUGACUUGAGUGCGGUAGAGGCAAGUGGAAUUCCCAGUGUAGCGGUGAAAUGCGUAGA